CAAAGGUAGCAUAAUCAUUAGUCUUUUAAUUGAAGGCUGGUAUGAAUGGUUGGAUGAAAUAUUAACUGUUUCAUUUAAAUUUUUUAUAGAAUUUUAUUUUUUAGUAAAAAAGCUAAAAUUUUUUUAAAAGACGAGAAGACCCUAUAAAUCUUUAUAUUUUAUUUUUAUUAAUUAUUAAGAUAAGUUUAAUUAUUAAAAAUUAAAAUAUUUUAUUGGGGUGAUAUUAAAAUUUAAUAAACUUUUAAUUUUUAAAUACAUAAAUUUAUGAUUUUUUGAUCCAUUAUUAAUGAUUAAAAAUUUAAGUUAGUUU
RNAcentral lists this ribosomal RNA (310 nucleotides) under Anthomyza dissors. Its description in RNAcentral is "partial 16S ribosomal RNA". The record is from RNAcentral. Lineage: Eukaryota; Metazoa; Arthropoda; Insecta; Diptera; Anthomyzidae.